UGGGGAAUAUUGGACAAUGGGCGCAAGCCUGAUCCAGCCAUGCCGCGUGAGUGAUGAAGGCCCUAGGGUUGUAAAGCUCUUUCACCGGUGAAGAUAAUGACGGUAACCGGAGAAGAAGCCCCGGCUAACUUCGUGCCAGCAGCCGCGGUAAUACGAAGGGGGCUAGCGUUGUUCGGAUUUACUGGGCGUAAAGCGCACGUAGGCGGACGUUUAAGUCAGGGGUGAAAUCCCGGGGCUCAACCCCGGAACUGCCUUUGAUACUGGAAGUCUUGAGUAUGGUAGAGGUGAGUGGAAUUCCGAGUGUAGAGGAGAAAUUCGUAGAUAUUCGGAGGAACACCAGUGGCGAAGGCGGCUCACUGGACCAUUACUGACGCUGAGGUGCGAAAGCAUGGGGAGCAAACAGG
This 404-nucleotide ribosomal RNA is filed under the name Actinomycetes bacterium. Its description in RNAcentral is "Actinobacteria bacterium partial 16S ribosomal RNA". It matches the Rfam family "Bacterial small subunit ribosomal RNA", at positions 355 to 776 of the family's 1533-position model. The record is from RNAcentral. Lineage: Bacteria; Bacillati; Actinomycetota; Actinomycetes.